RNAcentral lists this unclassified non-coding RNA (2934 nucleotides) under Lytechinus variegatus (green sea urchin). RNAcentral describes it as "e3 ubiquitin-protein ligase CHFR-like, transcript variant X1". The record is from RNAcentral. Lineage: Eukaryota; Metazoa; Echinodermata; Echinoidea; Temnopleuroida; Toxopneustidae.
CGUCGUACGUACCGUACCGUACCAAGAUCUGACUGAGGGUUGAGACCGCCGCAACUAACUCCAGAAAUUUCCUUGAAAUAUGGCAAACAGCCCGUGGGCACAAUUUGUCUGCAUAAGCGAAGAAGAUGGUCUUAUUAUCCCUAUUUCAAACGAUGUAUUUUCCGUUGGGAGAGCUAAAGCCUGUGACCUGUCAAUGCCGGAUAAUAAAUUCAUAUCAGGAAGACAUUGCAAUCUGUCCAGGAAAAACAAUACUAUCUGGCUGGAGGAUACAAGUACUAAUGGUACGUGGUUAAAUGGAGUCAAGAUUGGCAAAGGACAGAAACAAAGAUUGUUUCACAGGGAUGAAAUAGCAGUUGUACUCCAAGAGGGCAAAGAAGGGGCUAGAGAUAUAGUUUACCGAUAUGAAGACGUUGCAAUGCUGGAGGCUGAGCAAGAACGGCUGGAUCAGACACAAGAAAUGGAUGACCCAGAUGAAAAUACAGAAGAUUAUGUGUUCGAAGACAAAGAAGAUGAAGAAGGGGCUUCCAGGAAGAGGAAAAAAGAUGAGGAUUCUGAUGAUGGAAGUAAACCUGCUAAAAGGCUUGAAGCAGGAGAGGAAGAUGUAAACAAGGAUGAUAAAAUUCCAUCUGAAGAUCCUGCAGAAAAGCUAGCAGGAGAAGCAGCUUCAUCCGUUUCAGUUGAAUCUUCCAACGCAAUAGAAGAUACUGAUAAGGCUGCUGCCUCUGAAAAGGGAGAUGGGGAUACUGAGAAGAAGAAAAAAGAAGGGGUAAAAUCUCCAAAGGAGGAGGAAGAAGAAUCAGAUGACAUCCUUGAGACCCUUAUAUGCAGCAUCUGCCAAGAUAUACUGCAUAAGUGUAUCAGCCUUCAACCUUGUAUGCAUAGCUUUUGUGCUGCAUGUAUAUCGGGUUGGAUGAAACACUCGAAGAGAUGUCCUCAAUGUCGAAAACAUGUUAAGCGCAUAGGCCAUAAUUACAUUGUUAACAGCCUAGUGGAUGCCUAUCUCAAACAAAAUCCAGACAAAAAGAGGACAAAAGAAGACUUGGAAGAAAUGGAUGCCCGUUGCAGUAUUCCAUUUAAUAAGACAUUUGACUAUGACCCUAUGUACGAUGAGGAUGAAGAAGGUGAUUAUGAUCCUGAUGAUGAGGAGGAUUAUGAGGAGGAAGAAGAGGAGGAGGAAUAUGUUCCACCACCACCACCUGCCUGUAGACAGUGUCCCCACUAUGUACAGCCAUUGGACAGAGAUGCUGUCAUGUCCCUUCAAACCUCUCUGGAUCCAUCAACAAGCACUGCUGCGGUGCCAGGGAAUGCUCCUUCCACGUCUUCAAGAGAUGCUGCUGUUCCCUCCACCUCUUCUGCCACCUCUUCAUCUCCGUCCAAGAGAGUCCGAAUAGCUGUUGGAGGCAUACCUGUCCCCAUGCCAACCCCUCCACCAUUCCAGUGCAAUCUUGAUGCCUUACAACACGUAGCCUGCACAUGCUGCCUACAGCCUAUGCCAAACAGAACCAGAGCGCCAGAUAUUCCUCCACAGAUAUGUCGUAUCUGCCGAAGGAGCUUUUGCCAUAUGUACUGGGGUUGUAAGCAGUACAACUGCCUAGGGUGUCUCAACAGGUUCCGAGAUAUGAAAUUUAGUGAGAGUGUUCUGGAUACUAUCAUUAACAACAAUAGAUAUGAAUCAACAAUAUUCAAAGAUUUCAUGUUAUCAAAGGGCCAUCAUAAUAUCCAUCUUGUACUACAAGAAGUAUUGAGUGGACUUGCAGCUAAUAAUUACAGAACAGACGAGACCCAGUUAAAUGGUAUUUCAGGGCAUAGUCCUCUUUGUUAUACCUGUGCCUUGAGGAUAUUCCAGGGUACUGCAUAUCUCUACAGAGCAAGCAUUCCAAAGAAUGAUCUACCAAUUCUUGUCACAGCCAGGCCGGACUGCCAUUGGGGAAGGGCCUGUAGAACACAGUACAAUAAACCACAUCAUGCUGCGAAUUUCAACCACAUUUGUGAUCAAGUUCGAUUCUGAUGAUGUCCCACGUAUAGUCUGUAAUUUCGGGAUCAAGGAGCGUUUUUCCAUUUUGCGACCAUUGACCUUUGGAUGGGAGUGAUGACAGUGCAAGUGAUCUGGAAUAAAUCUUCUGUCCUUAGCAGCAGGUUCUGGUGGUGGUGGCACAUCAUGCACCCCUAUCCUCUUGGAAGACCGCAGUUUUACAAUGAGUGGCAUUUCUUGGGAUAUCACUCUCAACCGACAAGAUAUAAAAAUAGAAGUGCAAUAUGUACAUGAUGUAAUGCUGAGUUUACUUGGACAGCAGCAAAAAAAAAGAAGAAUAAAUAAAUAAAAAAUACUGUUCUAUGACAAAUGCCUCCUGGUCGUAACUUUCUUAUUGCUGUAAAGUUUCAUUUUCAAUGUCAGUCUGGUCCUCGUUGCAUGAAACUUUACCAUUUGGCAUUAUGGUAUCUGUACUUUUGUGGUAUUAAAGUUCUUCAGAGACCCUGAUGCUGAAUGGCUCUGAUACCUAUUUUUUUUUUUACGGUAGUUACCAUUGAAAUCAGAGUUACCUUGAAAGAAGAAUUAUGCAACAGGGUCCUAACGCUGUCGAAAUAAUUUCAUAGACCUAGUAUUCCCGUAUUCAAUAAACCAGUUGCUGCGGCGUGCUUAAAGCUGGAAACAAGACUACGCGCUUACGUUGACGGUUGACCGAACAUGCGAUCUAGUACUGAAGUAUACACGCUCACCUGAUUGGCUAAUCAGUUCGAAAGUAGAUUAGUUUGUAUGUAGUCUUGUCCGCAGGCUUCAGUGACGCACAGCAACUUCAAGUCAGGAAAUCUAAGCAUUUUGUCAAUAUCUCCUGUAUCAGAUAAAAUGCUUUGCCGAAGUGGGUAUUUCAAUUCCAUAAGAUUUGGCCAAGAAUUCAUCUUAGAAUUUUGAUGAGUAUUUCGCUUGGAUUUUUU